AUACGGAGGAUCCGAGCGUUAUCCGGAUUUAUUGGGUUUAAAGGGUGCGUAGGCGGCCUGUUAAGUCAGGGGUGAAAUUUUUCGGCUCAACCGGAAGCUUGCCUUUGAUACUGAUGGGCUUGAUUAUACUUGAGGUAGGCGGAAUGUGACAAGUAGCGGUGAAAUGCAUAGAUAUGUCACAGAACACCGAUUGCGAAGGCAGCUUACUAAGGUAUGAAUGACGCUGAGGCACGAAAGCGUGGGGAUC
This 247-nucleotide ribosomal RNA is filed under the name uncultured bacterium. Its description in RNAcentral is "partial 16S ribosomal RNA". It matches the Rfam family "Bacterial small subunit ribosomal RNA", at positions 523 to 769 of the family's 1533-position model. The record is from RNAcentral.